AUUCCAGCUCCAAUAGCGUAUAUUAAAGUUGUUGCAGUUAAAAAGCUCGUAGUUGGAUUUCUGGCAGGAGUGACCGGUCACACACUCUGUGUGUGAACUCGCGUUGUCUCUGGCCAUCCUUGGGGAGAUCCUGUUUGGCAUUAAGUUGUCGGGCAGGGGAUACCCAUCGUUUACUGUGAAAAAAUUAGAGUGUUUAAAGCAGGCUUAUGCCGUUGAAUAUAUUAGCAUGGAAUAAUAAGAUAGGACUUCGGAACUAUUUUGUUGGUUUGCGUUACGAAGUAAUGAUUAAUAGGGACAGUUGGGGGUAUUCGUAUUUCGUUGUCAGAGGUGAAAUUCUUGGAUUUCCGAAAGACGAACUACUGCGAAAGCAUUUACCAAGGAUGUUUUCAUUG
RNAcentral lists this ribosomal RNA (392 nucleotides) under Thalassiosira sp. Its description in RNAcentral is "partial small subunit ribosomal RNA". It matches the Rfam family "Eukaryotic small subunit ribosomal RNA", at positions 582 to 975 of the family's 1831-position model. The record is from RNAcentral. Lineage: Eukaryota; Bacillariophyta; Thalassiosirophyceae; Thalassiosirales; Thalassiosiraceae.